CCCUUAGAUGUUCUGGGCCGCACACGCGCUACACUGAAGGAGGCAGCGUGUACUCCUGGAUCGAAAGAUUUGGGUAACCCGCGAAUCUCCUUCGUGCUAGGGAUUGAGGUUUGCAAUUAUCCUUCAUGAACGAGGAAUUCCCAGUAAGUGCAAGUCAUAAGCUUGCGCUGACUACGUCCCUGCCCUUUGUACACACCGCCCGUCGCUACUACCGAUUGAAUGAUUUAGUGAGGACUUCGGACUGGGACCGAUGCGGCUUUCGGGAUGCGUCGGUAUUCUGGAAAGAUGUCCAAACUGUAUCAUUUAGAGGAAGUAAAAGUCGUAACA
Molecule: ribosomal RNA, 327 nt
Filed under: uncultured eukaryote
Lineage: Eukaryota
Description: partial 18S ribosomal RNA
Rfam family: Eukaryotic small subunit ribosomal RNA
Source: RNAcentral